RNAcentral lists this ribosomal RNA (1064 nucleotides) under Bacillus sp. (in: firmicutes). RNAcentral's name for it is "bacterial SSU rRNA". It matches the Rfam family "Bacterial small subunit ribosomal RNA", at positions 48 to 1093 of the family's 1533-position model. Lineage: Bacteria; Bacillati; Bacillota; Bacilli; Caryophanales; Bacillaceae. The record is from RNAcentral.
ACUAUACUGGCAGUCGAGCGGAUCUUCAUUAGCUUGCUUUUGAAGAUCAGCGGCGGACGGGUGAGUAACACGUGGGCAACCUGCCUGUAAGACUGGGAUAACUUCGGGAAACCGGAGCUAAUACCGGAUAAUCCUUUCCCUCACAUGAGGGAAAGCUGAAAGACGGUUUCGGCUGUCACUUACAGAUGGGCCCGCGGCGCAUUAGCUAGUUGGUGAGGUAACGGCUCACCAAGGCAACGAUGCGUAGCCGACCUGAGAGGGUGAUCGGCCACACUGGGACUGAGACACGGCCCAGACUCCUACGGGAGGCAGCAGUAGGGAAUCUUCCGCAAUGGACGAAAGUCUGACGGAGCAACGCCGCGUGAGCGAUGAAGGCCUUCGGGUCGUAAAGCUCUGUUGUCAGGGAAGAACAAGUAUCGGAGUAACUGCCGGUACCUUGACGGUACCUGACCAGAAAGCCACGGCUAACUACGUGCCAGCAGCCGCGGUAAUACGUAGGUGGCAAGCGUUGUCCGGAAUUAUUGGGCGUAAAGCGCGCGCAGGCGGUUCCUUAAGUCUGAUGUGAAAGCCCCCGGCUCAACCGGGGAGGGUCAUUGGAAACUGGGGAACUUGAGUGCAGAAGAGGAGAGCGGAAUUCCACGUGUAGCGGUGAAAUGCGUAGAGAUGUGGAGGAACACCAGUGGCGAAGGCGGCUCUCUGGUCUGUAACUGACGCUGAGGCGCGAAAGCGUGGGGAGCGAACAGGAUUAGAUACCCUGGUAGUCCACGCCGUAAACGAUGAGUGCUAAGUGUUAGAGGGUUUCCGCCCUUUAGUGCUGCAGCAAACGCAUUAAGCACUCCGCCUGGGGAGUACGGCCGCAAGGCUGAAACUCAAAGGAAUUGACGGGGGCCCGCACAAGCGGUGGAGCAUGUGGUUUAAUUCGAAGCAACGCGAAGAACCUUACCAGGUCUUGACAUCCUCUGACAACCCUAGAGAUAGGGCUUUCCCCUUCGGGGGACAGAUUGACAGGGGGUGCAUGGUUGGCGCAGCUCCGGGCCGGGAGAGUUGGGGUUAAGUCCCGCAAC